GACGAACGCUGGCGGCGUGCUUAACACAUGCAAGUCGAACGGAAAGGCCCUGCUUUUGUGGGGUGCUCGGGUGGCGAACGGGUGAGUAACACGUGAGUAACCUGCCCUUGACUUUGGGAUAACUUCAGGAAACUGGGGCUAAUACCGGAUAGGAGCUCCUGCUGCAUGGUGGGGGUUGGAAAGUUUCGGCGGUUGGGGAUGGACUCGCGGCUUAUCAGCUUGUUGGUGGGGUAGUGGCUUACCAAGGCUUUGACGGGUAGUCGGCCUGAGAGGGUGACCGGCCACAUUGGGACUGAGAUACGGCCCAGACUCCUACGGGAGGCAGCAGUGGGGAAUAUUGCACAAUGGGCGGAAGCCUGAUGCAGCAACGCCGCGUGCGGGAUGACGGCCUUCGGGUUGUAAACCGCUUUCGCCUGUGACGAAGCGUGAGUGACGGUAAUGGGUAAAGAAGCACCGGCUAACUACGUG
This 468-nucleotide ribosomal RNA is filed under the name uncultured bacterium. RNAcentral describes it as "partial 16S ribosomal RNA". It matches the Rfam family "Bacterial small subunit ribosomal RNA", at positions 28 to 507 of the family's 1533-position model. The record is from RNAcentral.